UGGAAAUGUCUGGGUGUUAACAAGAUCUCUCUUGCUCUACAUCAUACUGCUGGCUAGGGUCCUGUUAUUACAGCACGUUACUGACACCAGUGAUGUGACUCUUACCCUCGAGACAAUGUACUGUAUAAUGAGGGAACCCAAAAGUGUUGACGGGAAGCACUUUCCUGGGCGACAAAUCGUGAUCGGCAGCUCAUGCUCAGAAGAAAAGGGGGAGACGUGCUUCACCAAUUGAAUCACAUUGGAAGCGAAAGCAGGAAUGUUUUUGAAGAGCCCCCUUUAUGAAUGUAUGAAUUUCAAAUGGUCUAAUCUUUGAGGAUUGAUUGCCAACAGAGGGCCCCAAAGGAUUCGUUUGUUCGUGAGAGAAGCUAGUGAGCGAUAGUUCGCCUAUUUUUUUUUUUAAUAUCGAGGCAGGAAGAAAAGCAGUGUGUUAUCAUUAAAAAGAGAUCCGAACCGGUGUCGGACUGAGUUGUCCCCCGU
Lepisosteus oculatus (spotted gar) is the source of this 477-nucleotide long non-coding RNA. RefSeq lists it as uncharacterized. NCBI's taxonomy places the organism in Eukaryota, Metazoa, Chordata, Actinopteri, Semionotiformes, Lepisosteidae. The record is from RefSeq and is a predicted model, not a curated record.